UCUCCACGUUUGGGACAUUUUGCAGUAACGCCAGCAGCGCCGCAAUAAUAACUCAGCCGCCAACCAGUGGGAGUUAUUGGCAGACUGUGAAAGCGACGGCAGAAACGUUUGGUACAAGAUACUUCAUACAGUUCACUAUGAAAGACAUGGAAACAAUGAACGAGACUUUCUCACGCUGUCAUGUUAACGAAAUAAUCAAAGAUUCAGAAGAAGAGUAAUAUCCCGUUUCAGCUAUAACCAGCUUAAGAACCACCUGUUACGAGCAAAAAACAUUACUAAUAAAGACUGAGAAAAUUGAUCCUUA
Long non-coding RNA from Dermacentor andersoni, 304 nucleotides. RefSeq lists it as uncharacterized. NCBI's taxonomy places the organism in Eukaryota, Metazoa, Arthropoda, Arachnida, Ixodida, Ixodidae. The record is from RefSeq and is a predicted model, not a curated record.